RNAcentral lists this ribosomal RNA (255 nucleotides) under uncultured bacterium. RNAcentral describes it as "partial 16S ribosomal RNA". It matches the Rfam family "Bacterial small subunit ribosomal RNA", at positions 524 to 776 of the family's 1533-position model. The record is from RNAcentral.
CACGUAGGGGGCGAGCGUUGUCCGGAUUUAUUGGGCGUAAAGAGCUCGUAGGCGGUUCGGUAAGUCGGGUGUGAAACCUCCAGGCUCAACCUGGAGUCGCCACUCGAUACUGCUGUGACUAGAGUCCGGUAGGGGAGCGUGGAAUUCCUGGUGUAGCGGUGAAAUGCGCAGAUAUCAGGAGGAACAGCCAGCGGCGAAGGCGGCGCUCUGGGCCGGAACUGACGCUGAGGAGCGAAAGCGUGGGUAGCAAACAGG